CUGAUGUUGUAAUAGGAGUUUGUCCGGAAAAAAUUUUUUUGAACCUUAGUUUAACUAAUGUUCAACCAGAAAAUUUUUUUGACCCUUAAUAUAUACAGCUUUUUUGCUUACUUAUAUUCAUCUGCUAUUCAAGAGCAUUCAGAAAUUGUGGGUGGGGUGGGCAGAAUUUGUUCCACUCUAUACUUGUGUUAUCAUAACAUGAUAACAGUGGUAAGUUUGUGCAUGGAUAGCAACAGUCAAAAACAUGCAUUAGUUCGCUGAUUGGAAUUCCCCUUAAAGUUGCAUUGCUCCCUACUUUAUUACUUUACUCUGUCUAAUGCAAAAUGAUUUUACUUGUCAAAGGAGAGUGCAAGUGCUCAAUGUGUUAAUCAUGCUAUCUUGAAGGGUUUUUGUAGAUGGAAAUUCUGAGCAGAAGAUUACAUACUUUUUUAUAUCUAACCAGGAGCAGCUGAAAAAAUGCAACUUACUAUAGGCCCUAUGUCAGGAAUGGAGCCUGCAGCUCUGUGAUUCCGGUGCAGCACUCUAACCAACUGAGCUACGUACACAGUCCAGUUGUUGAGCUCUAGCAGACAUU
Paramuricea clavata is the source of this 574-nucleotide non-coding RNA. The record is from the annotation of a GenBank genome assembly. NCBI's taxonomy places the organism in Eukaryota, Metazoa, Cnidaria, Anthozoa, Malacalcyonacea, Plexauridae.